This is a small nuclear RNA of Aotus nancymaae (Ma's night monkey), 126 nucleotides long. The record is from Ensembl. Lineage: Eukaryota; Metazoa; Chordata; Mammalia; Primates; Aotidae.
GUGUUGCGUGAAAGGAGAGAAGGUUGCCACUCCCCUUGCCGAGGAUGGAAGAGGCCCUUGGGCCUGACAACACGCGUACAGUUGAAGCAUUACCACCUACUUCGUGGCAUCUAACAAUCGUUUAAG